Haliotis rubra (blacklip abalone) is the source of this 378-nucleotide long non-coding RNA. RefSeq lists it as uncharacterized. NCBI's taxonomy places the organism in Eukaryota, Metazoa, Mollusca, Gastropoda, Lepetellida, Haliotidae. The transcript has 2 exons. The record is from RefSeq and is a predicted model, not a curated record.
UGUGUUAUAGUAAAGCAUUGCCACAACCAGCUGCAACAGCAAGGUUUUUAGCGAUUGGGCUGUGCUACAGUAAAGCAUUGCCACAACCAGCUGCAGCAGCAAGGUAUCAGCGAUGGGGCUCUGUUAUAGUAAAGCAUAGCCACAACCAGCUGCAGCAGCAACGUAUCAGCGAUGGGGCUGUGUUAUGGUAAAGCAUUGCCACAACCAGCUGCAGCAGCAAGGUAUCAGCGAUGGGGCUGUGUUAUAGUAAAACAUUGCCACAACCAGCUGCAGCAGCAAGGUAUCAGCGAUGGGGCUGUGUUAUAGUAAAGCAUUGCCACAACCAGCUGCAGCAGCAAGGUAUCAGCGAUGGGGCUGUGUUAUAGUAAAGCAUUGCCA